Molecule: long non-coding RNA, 470 nt
Filed under: Linum usitatissimum (flax)
Lineage: Eukaryota; Viridiplantae; Streptophyta; Magnoliopsida; Malpighiales; Linaceae
Description: long non-coding RNA (LUSI_LNC003547)
Source: RNAcentral
CCGACUAAUAUAAAAAAAGUGGAUGUAAUUGAAGUCCUUCAAAGCAUACUUAAAAUUUUUCAAACGGGCAUAAAUUCUCUAAAUAUCUUAUCGGUCAGUUAGGUUGCACUUCUUAUCCUAUACUUGUUGGUGUUGGUUCUUGCUUGAUGAUGCUUUAAUUUGUUCCUAAUUUUAUAUUUUUGUCCAUUGUUGUGUUCUUUAUCGUUUGGGUGAUGGAAAUUUUGCUCUUCCUAAACUCAUAUUGCUAGUUUGUUGUGAGUAUGAUUCAAUUCUUUUCUUUUUGUUUCCUUAUUUUUACUUUUUAGUGUUAUUUCGUUUUGUUUCUUUCUAUUGUUUCCCUUAUUUUGUUCGUUUUCUUGCUGGUGAUUAUAUUAUCUUUUAUUGUGUUGUUGGUUUUAAUUGUUUGACUGCUCGUUCUUGUUGUGUUUAUUUCCCUAGUUUCUUUAAUUAUGUUGCCAAUUUAUUGGUUU